GCAGUUGUGUGGAAUCCUUGGGACAAGAAGGCCAGGGCUCUCCAAGAUUUGGGGGACGAGGACUACAAAACCAUGUUAUGUGUGGAUUCUGCUGAUAUUGAAACCCCAAUUAUCUUGAAACCUUUUGAAGAGUGGAAGGGCUACCAAGAGCUAUCUACUGUAUCAUCAAGUUAUUGCAGUGGGCAGUUGGAUCCUAGGAAGGUUCUUUAUGGUCAGUGAUCUUGCCCCAUAAUAACUGGAGGUUUGCUUGUAAUCCCUGGUCUUAUUUUAACAUAUGCAUGCAUUUGCUGUCUAAUUUGUUGGGGUCUUUAGGACUCCUAGACUGAGAUUUAACCAGUUGCAUGUACUAGUUGACCAUCAAUAUUGAGGUGACACUAUCACAUUGUCAAGCAACAAGAUUUUUACUUUUGUGUUGCUUCUUUGUGAUGGUAUGAUCUGCCUUUCUGUUGUCAAGAUCGAGUUAAGUGAGUGAAUUUGAUGGUACUGUAGCUGUUGAAUAGAAUAUUAUAAUAAAUUCUGUUGAAAUCUUGGAAGUAGAAUCAUUUAAUUUGUUAAAUUCUUUGAGUAACAGAGUGAUAGAGGAAUGGGAUUAACAACAUAGAUUUUGUCAUUUAAGCAGCUACAAUCUCACCAUAAUCUUCCUUAUAGAGCAAUUGCUCAGGCGCUAGGAACUGGACCUAGACAUUAUUUCAUUCUGUCUGGAAUUUGUUUUGAUCUGUGAAUUAGAAGAGAGAAAGUAGAGACAUCCCAAAUUUUUCUUUGGCAUCCUUAUCAAACGGAUCAUCUCCGAGAUACAUGUAAACGUAUGCCCUGCAGAGGAGUUCACUCUCAACUUUGCUAAUCACCCCUCCCAUCACUGCAUUCAUCAAAAGUGGGUGCUCAAUUAGAUUUAGAUAUCUCAUUAGAGCAUAACAUGGAAUUCUGUAGUGUUUCAGCACUUACCUUUAGUUUCGAGAACAUGUCCAGGAAGGCGAGAAAUCUCAAUAACUGAGCCACUUGUUAGCUUGAUGUCAUCUGAUGCUUGGCCCAUGACCCUAUUAUUUGGGAGCACGUAAUAGGUGAAGUUUAGUAGUAGAUAAGUGCAUUAUUGUAGUUGCAAUAACAAGGAGAAGGAUAUUUACUUGUUUGCAAGCUCGUCAUUCUUCUUUCCACCAUUCAGUUUUCUGAUGGCUGCUCCUAGACCUUCAUCAAAGUUCUUUUUUACCAUGUUCAUGGUGAGGCUAGAAAACACAAUCACCAACCUCAUCAUCAUCGCCACAUCACUCUCAAUUACUGCCUGAUACAUUUCCUUUGUUGGUUUUGCUGGGGCUUUUCCAAUCUUUAACUUCAGGAUAUCUUUCAGGGUAUCGUUGUCUGUAUACAUCCCUGCAAAUUAAAACAAUGAUGACAUGGAUGUGAAGCAUUGGAAAGAGAAUUUCAUGUUAGAGCGUACAUAUCCGAACUUGGAACUCACUAGUUAGGAGGAUUCAGCUCUCACUGGUUAAUACUAUUAUAGAUGCCACAGCAAUUUGAUUCGUGCCAUUUAUGGUUCAGUUUGAUUUGAGAUUGGUCACGACUCGUGAUUUUAUUGUCUGUAACGUUCAAAACUUAAUUCUUGAUACUAUGAAGUAAAGUUGGAGUAGAUCGAACUGGAAAAAAAAGGUUAAAGGCGGAACAUUACCAAAGCCAUAAAUCUUGAUUCCCAUGCCAAGCAUGUAUUUCUUCCUCAAACCAACACUUGUCAGCUGCUUCCCAUCAUCCAACUUAACUGGAAAGGAAACUCCAGUCUUAGGUUCAACCUCAAGUGCUACUACAUCUUCUUUCUUUACCUCUUUCUCAGGCGCCUCAGAUUCAGCUUCUUUUCCAGCUAUUUUCAUCUCCUCUUGACCUUUCUCCAUGGUUGGCGCUCCAUUCAUCCCACUAACAGCCUUGUGUUCGACACCGUUGCCGUUCACCUUCUCGUCGACCGGUGUUUGAUCCUUGGUAACAGCAGUCUCAAUCUCAGGAAGAGUGGACAUUCUUCAACUAACUGUUACAAAUGAACAAGGAGGAGAGUCAAGUGUUAUGUGUUGGUUUGAAAUUUGAAGGGAAGGCAAAGUGUUUAUAUAGGAGGGGAACACAAGAGAGAGCAUUUAUUUGCCAUUGGAGACACUCUAUCACAUUGGCAUAGGCAUACGCCUCGGUAUGAGCAUUAGAUAAGUGAAGCAAAUGUUGCAAGAAAGGCAUUCAGUCAUUCAAAUUGGAGGAUUGGACAGCAUUUUCAAAGCUUUACCAAUUUACUGAAUCCACACAUAUCAAGAACUUGCCCUUGUGCAACAUUGACUUGUCUGAGCAAAUAAUUUCACCAUGUGUUCCUGUCCUGGCUAAAACACGUGUCCAAAGCCAACUUUAAGAUGCCAACAACUACAUAGACCAUCAGCCGCUAACUAACUCUUGAAUGUUAAUCAAGAAUAUGGAAGAGUGUGGAAUAGGCUUAUGGAUUAAUCAGAAUUUUUGGGCUACACUCUUUAAUAAUGUAUAACUCAAUCAUGGGGGCUCUGAAUCUGUUCAGCACAGCACCAAUGCUAUGCUAAAACAAGGGAUGCAUUUCUUUUGAUAAUGAAUUUGAAGGAAUGGAUUAAUUGAACAGCCUUCUUAAAUGUUUCACCAAUAUAUGGCAGUUACCCCCUAUGAUCAUUGUAAUAAUAAUAAUAAUAAAAAGAAAAGAAAAGCUUUGCACUGCUCAUUGUUUAAAGCUCUCCUUUUCUGAAAAUCACAUUCCUCAAAUCAUGAAGCAUGGUUGCAGAAAUCAUGAAAUAGCAAAUAUCCAACAAAAGAAAAAAGAAAGGGAAUUUCAAAUCCAGAUAUUUAACUCAUUCAAACAAAUCAUUUUGUUGUUUUAAAAUAAAAUACAAGCAUAAAUGGGCAUUGGCUUCCAAAUUCCACAGGGUGUUCAUGGCUUACGAGCACUGGAUUCUUCAAAAUUAUGGCUUUGAAAAUUAAAGAAUAUUAUCCUUAACUCAAAAAGUCUUAUCCCCAUAUCUUUCAACCAUAUACAACAAGAACAUGGCUACAACUACACCCAUUUCUUUGUUUAGUUUAUCUUCCAAUGUAGAAACACUUAAUCUUGAAAGGCUACUUUAACACUUAACUCAAAUCUAAACGCACUGGUUAUUCCCAGCGGUUGUGAAUUGUAAAGAUAAUAUUAAAACAUAGGAAUUUAAAAAUGAAUUAAUAAAAAUAUGCAUGAAAAUCAUCCAACAAAAAGAAUUUCACAUACUUAAUGGUAUUUGAUUGUGCUGAUGAUUGUAGAGAUAAUAUCAAAAUGCACACAUACCUACAAAUGGAUUAUUAAAAAUAUCGCAUUAAAUUCAUCCGUAAAAAUAAAUUGAAAAACAAAAGAACAGAAUUGUAAGGGUUGAAAUUAAAUUAGUAUCCAAAAUCAUUUUGAGAAACGACUGUAUGAAAAUUGUGAUCGAAGGUUGGACAAAAUUUUCUAGAGAAACAAAAGAUAGAGGGUGUUUGCGUAUGACUGAAGGGCCAGGCUAAGAACCUAAACAAAGGUUCAAUGGGCUAGCUUAUGCCCAGAUUUGUGUUGGAGAGCCCAGACCCAAUUGAAAGGUCUGGAAUGAGUUCAUCUUUUUCUCUCUCUCUCUCUUCUUCACAAGUCGAAACACAAUCAGAGCAAAGCUUUGAAGCAGUUAAAGACUUAUUUGGAAGUUGAAAAUUUGCAAGAGAGGAUAUUGUACUGAAGCUGAAAUCAAAUCCAUGCCGUUGAAUAUUGUUAAUGAUGUUGAUGGAUUGCCCAAAAUUAUCUUGACUGAGCCUACUGGUUCUUCUGCUGAGGUCAUUUAUUCUAACCCCCUUUUCUUUUAUAUCCUCUUGAGCUUUUUUUUCGAGCUCUCUUGAUCUUUAAGGAAAUUGGGUUCUAAUGGUUUCUUUUUUUCAUUGAUUAUGUAAUUGGGGACAAAUAUUAUGUGUUCUUUUGGAUGAUGUUACUGUAAUUGAAGGAGAAAUUCUGUGAUUGGUGUAGAUUGAUAGUUCAAAUGAUUGACAAUGGUGUGAAAAAGAGAAUAAUUUUGAUGUAUAGAAUUGGAAAAGCUUUGAUCUUGAGAGAUGAUAAACAGAAUUUUAUGGCCAGAUGAAGAGAAGUUAGAUUCCUGAUAAGUUUGAGGGUGGGAGUCAAUGGACAGUAAAUUGGUUUUGGAAUAUGGGGCAGCAUCUUAGGGCAUAAGUCUAUAAAAUUUGUUGUGAUUGUUAUUUUUUUUCUUUUCAUUGUCAAGAAUUUAGCUUUCUCAAAGGUCAUAUAUAAUUAAAUAAACAAACGCUACUUCAGAGAUCCUCAAUGAGGAUGGAUGAACAAAUCUUGGUCUGAUUUGAACCCAUUUAAAUAAACCCUUAUAAUUUAAAAAGAUGAAAGAACAGUUGUGUCUUGCAAAAGGCUGCUGAUACGAAACUAAGAGUUUCUAGAAAGAUAAUUUAAUUGAAUUAAUACUAAACUUUGCUUUUCUCUAUUGUUUUUCAUUGGCAAAGAAUAUAUAUAUGAAACUGAAAGUGAUAGCUCACUUUUGCAGUCACUAUGAUAGCUCACUUUUGCAGUCACUAUGAUAGCUCACUUUUGCAGUCACUAACUGUUCAUCCAAAUGGUUCAGGUGCUUCUUUAUGGUGGGCAGGUUGUCUCCUGGAAGAACGAACGCAGAGAAGAAUUACUUUUUAUGAGUACCAAGGUGAGCCCCUCUUUGUAGCUAUUAGCCACAAUAGUGACUAAGCAUCAUAUUGAUGUCAAUCUAGAAAUGACAGAUUGCUCUCCUUUAUGAAGAAGAACUGUCAGUAAGGAGUAAUAUAUAUUAGUUUGAAUGUUGACCUUCAUUUUUAACCUUUUUUAUGCCUGAAGCAAUUCAGUCUUAGGAUUUUUGGCAAACGGAAGUCACUUCCUGAAGUUUCAGAAUAACAGCUUAAUGUCCAUACAGCAACCCUCUCAAAAUGAUGGUAAACAUAUUAGCUGGUUUAAUGAAAUGUAUAAACCUAAGAGAUACCAAAUUUACAUGCUGAACCUCUUUUAAAGUAUAUAUACACUUACUUAUCAGUCAUUUCAUCGCUCUUUAAUUGCUCUUUUUGCAUAUCAAUUCAUACUUCAUUAAUUUAAGUCUGCGUCAGGCUCAGCUAUGUUAGUUUGAGUUGUUAUAUGUGCGAAUCUACUGUUACCUGUGGAACUACUAAUCCUGGUUGUGGUGGAAUUUCCCCUCUUUGUAGGCUGUGUUGAAGGCACCUAAAGCCAUCAGAGGAGGCAUACCUGUCUGCUUUCCACAGGUUUAUGAUUUGUGAUAAGGAAUCAAGUAGAAUAUAUUUCACUCUCAUUAUUGUUAAGAGUUUGAGUUCUUAUUCAAUGCUGCUACUUCAGUUUGGAAAUCUUGGCUCACUGGAGCAACAUGGAUUUGCAAGGAACAAAUUGUGGUCAUUGGAUAGUGAUCCGUUGCCUUUGCCUCCGGUGAAUAAUCAGUCGUCGGUAGAUCUGAUUUUGAAGUCCACAGAAGAAGAUUUGAAGACUUGGCCACGUAGGUAUGCUUUCAAACUGGCCAAACUGCAUAAGACUAUAUUGAAGAUAUUAUCAUUUUAAACAUAUCUAUUUAAAACUUUUGGAUUUCUGCAGCUUUGAGCUGCGGCUUCGAAUCUCUAUUAGUCCCGGCAAGCUUACUCUGAUCCCCCGUGUGAGAAAUACAGAUAACAAGGCCUUCUCUUUUACAUUUGCACUCUGUAACUACUUGUCUGUCUCAGAUAUCAGGUUUGUCUUAUAUUAGCUAGAACUUGUUCUGUUAGAAGAUUGCCACUGUCAUUGUUCUGUCUAGAUCUUACAAUCCCAGUAUUUCCAAGUCUUGCAUCUUCUUACACACUUUUGCAGUCAACCUAUAAGCUAUUUUCCCACCUCAGUUGGAAUUUGCAGAAAGCAUCUCGAAUUAAGAGCUUAGUUUAGAAGAUAUUGCAAUUCCACCCUUUUCAAAUGGGUUGCAUGAUACUGUUUAAUUUGCAGCGAAGUGCGUAUUGAAGGCUUAGAGACACUCGAUUACUUUGAUAAUCUGAUGCAGAGAGAAAGGUUCACUGAACAAGCAGAUGCAAUUACAUUCGACGCUGAGGUACUAUUAUUGUUUCUUCUUAGCCAUUCAGUCUGGAGGUGAAUUUCUUGGAAGAAAACGAUAAUAAAAUGAAUAUUUAUUUAAUAACUGUUAGUUUAUGAUUUCAUACAAUUCUUUACUCUAAUUCUCUUAUUUCAAUUCACCUAUAUCUGGAAGUAUUAUACUGCUAAUGCACAUUAAUUUUUCAGAUUGAUAGAAUAUAUUUAAGCACCCCCACAAAAAUUGCUAUUAUUGACCAUGAGAAGAAGAGAACCUUUGUGCUGCGGAAGGAUGGCUUGCCUGAUGCAGGUUCUAACAUGUUGUCUUGCUGUUUUCUAAUUGUCAUCUUCAUUCCAAUUGCUGAGUUUCUCUAGCUACAUACCUGAUUUUAUUGAUUAUGCAGUUGUGUGGAAUCCUUGGGAUAAAAAGGCCAAGGCUCUCCAAGAUUUGGGGGAUGAUGACUACAAAACCAUGUUAUGUGUGGAUUCUGCUGCUAUUGAAACCCCAAUUGUCUUGAAACCUUUUGAAGAGUGGAAGGGCCACCAAGAACUAUCUACUGUGUCAUCAAGUUAUUGCAGUGGGCAGCUGGAUCCUGGAAAAGUUCUUUAUGGAUUUCAGUGAUCUCACCCAUGUAAUGAAUGGAU
Molecule: long non-coding RNA, 6712 nt
Filed under: Ricinus communis (castor bean)
Lineage: Eukaryota; Viridiplantae; Streptophyta; Magnoliopsida; Malpighiales; Euphorbiaceae
Description: long non-coding RNA (RCOM_LNC001400)
Source: RNAcentral